CGUGGUACUCCACGCUGUAAACGAUGGAUACUAGCUGUUGGAAGCAAUUUCAGUUGCUAAGAGAAAGUGAUAAGCAUCCCACAUGGGGAGUACUUCGCAAGAAUGAACUCAAAGGAAUGACGGGGGCCCGCACAAGCGGUGGAGCAUGUGCUUUAAUUCGAUGAUACGCGAGGAUCCUUACCAAGGCUUAAAUGUAGAUCGACCAGUUAGGAAACAGAUCUUUCGCAAGACAAUUCACAAGGUGCUGCAUGGUCGUCGUCAGCUCGUGCCGUGAGCUGUCAGCUUAAGUCCUAUAACGAGCGCAACCCCUGUCGUUAGUUGCCAGCGAGUCAAGUCGGGAACUCUAACAAGACUGCCAGUGCAAACUGUGAGGAAGGUGGGGAUGACGUCAAAUCAUCACGGCCCUUACCCCUUCGGCUACACACGUGCUACAAUCGCCGGUACAGAGAGCAGCCACUGGGCGACCAGGAGCGAAUCUACAAAUCCGGUCACAGUUCGGAUCGGAGUCUGCAACUAGACCCCGUGAAGCUGGAAUCAGCUAGUAAUCGGAUAUCAGUCCAUGAUCCGGUGAAUACGUUCCCGGGCCUUGUACACACCGCCCGUCAAGCCAUGGAAGCUGGGGGUGCCUGAAGUCGGUGACCGCAAGUAGC
Molecule: ribosomal RNA, 650 nt
Filed under: Flavobacterium sp. AD155
Lineage: Bacteria; Pseudomonadati; Bacteroidota; Flavobacteriia; Flavobacteriales; Flavobacteriaceae
Description: bacterial SSU rRNA
Rfam family: Bacterial small subunit ribosomal RNA
Source: RNAcentral